Molecule: ribosomal RNA, 405 nt
Filed under: uncultured bacterium
Lineage: Bacteria
Description: bacterial SSU rRNA
Rfam family: Bacterial small subunit ribosomal RNA
Source: RNAcentral
AAGGAAUCUUCCACAAUGGGGGCAACCCUGAUGGAGCAACGCCGCGUGCAGGAUGAAGGCCCUCGGGUCGUAAACUGCUUUUAUGAGUGAAGAAUAUGACGGUAACUCAUGAAUAAGCACCGGCUAACUACGUGCCAGCAGCCGCGGUCAUACGUAGGGUGCAAGCAUUAUCCGGAGUGACUGGGCGUAAAGAGUUGCGUAGGCGGUUAGUAAAGCGAAUAGUGAAACCUGGUGGCUCAACCAUACAGACUAUUAUUCGAACUCACUAACUCGAGAGUGGUAGAGGUAACUGGAAUUUCUUGUGUAGGAGUGAAAUCCGUAGAUAUAAGAAGGAACACCAAUGGCGUAGGCAGGUUACUGGACCAUUUCUGACGCUAAGGCACGAAAGCGUGGGGAGCGAACGGG